AGACAAACCAACGCUCUCAACUCUGAAGAGUCAGGAGUUGUUAGAGAGCCUUUUCUCAGAAAGCCUGACACCCGUGUCUUUAGUCUGGCAUCCAUGCUAGUCACUUUUAACUGGCCAAUAGGUGCCUGGUAUUUAGUCCCCAAAUUCUAAGGAAAAAUAAGACAGAAUAGCAAGCAAAAGGGGUCUGAUGGUACUCACCACUUGGUGAUAGGCGACAGUCCCAUCUGGGUCACCAAAAUAUGUCUGGAAUUGGUUCCUUCCAGUGGGUUCUUGGUCUCACUGACUUCAAGAAUGAAGCCGCGGACCCUCGCACAUGAUUGUGAGGCCUCCCCACCCACAUGGAAUGGAACAAUGGUUCAGGAUUCACUAAUUCAGUAUUAGCAGCAACUUUACGGAACAAAACUACUGUGGAUAAUGAGAAUUCACUGCGCCCGUUGUUUAAACAGUUAACAGCAGUCACUUUAGUGCCUUUUGUAGAGACAGAGCACUAUGUGAAGAUUGUGCCUGCUUCCUCUUUGCCUUCCACCAUGAUUGGAAGUUUCCUGAGACCUUCCCAGCAGCAGAAGCCUAUACAGUCUGCAGAACUAGUUCCCCAGCUAUCCCCCAGUGGCUUGGAGAUUCCCAUUUCAAGAGUGUAGAGUUCUACCCAGAAGGUGGCUGCGUGGACAGUGACUACAUUCUCAGCUCCAUGCCUAUUUGGGUGAGGCCCUGUGAUGAAUGGUCAUCAGUGGAAUAUGAGCAGAAGUGUUAUGUGUCAGAAGAAGACAUGCCUUCUCCAUCCUUUCUUUUCCCCUACCCUCUGGUUUGUGUUGGUUUCCAGGGUGUCCUUGGGAGGGGUUUGGGCCAUAAUUUCAAAAGACACAGUGCUAAAUACCACAAUCCCAAAUGUUGAAAUCUGGAAAGAUCAAAAUCUCUAAAGGAAGGCACACAUUUAAGAUGGCAAAGCCACUGUGCCUUUGUCCCUAAAUAAGAGUGGGGCAACUGUGCCUUUCACCACUCUGCUGUUAACCAGUUAUACACACAAUGAACUGUUACGUUAGCAAAAAAAAUGUUUCUUGUAAAGGCCACUGAAAUUGUGGAGUUUGUCUGUUACAGUAACUAGCAGUACUCUAACUAAAAUGAGCGUCUUUCAUAAUAGAGAUGAGAAUUCAGAUUUCUACUAUUCUCUGACAAAUCUCCAUAACACUUAUUUACCAAACCACUGAUUUUAAUUGUGCUGAACGGAAAUGAUCAUGGAGAGUCACUUUUCCAAUGACCUCUCUGUCCCUUGGUUUUCCAUUGUUUAAGGUGAAUGAUAAUUUCUAUCUUUUAUUUCUAUUUGUGGUAUCCAAACAAAAUCAUCAUAAAAACUCCAUUAUGGCAUAGUUAAUUGUAAAAUAAAUAUAUAUGACCAAAAAAAUUAAAAA
RNAcentral lists this long non-coding RNA (1406 nucleotides) under Homo sapiens (human). RNAcentral's name for it is "long intergenic non-protein coding RNA 2932". Lineage: Eukaryota; Metazoa; Chordata; Mammalia; Primates; Hominidae. The record is from RNAcentral.